GACGAACGCUGGCGGCGUGCUUAACACAUGCAAGUCGAACGGAAAGGCCCUGCUUGCAGGGUACUCGAGUGGCGAACGGGUGAGUAACACGUGGGUGAUCUGCCCUGCACUUCGGGAUAAGCCUGGGAAACUGGGUCUAAUACCGGAUAGGAGCCAUUUUAGUGUGAUGGUUGGAAAGUUUUUCGGUGUAGGAUGAGCUCGCGGCCUAUCAGCUUGUCGGUGGGGUAAUGGCCUACCAAGGCGGCGACGGGUAGCCGGCCUGAGAGGGUGGACGGCCACAUUGGGACUGAGAUACGGCCCAGACUCCUACGGGAGGCAGCAGUGGGGAAUAUUGCACAAUGGGCGCAAGCCUGAUGCAGCGACGCCGCGUGGGGGAUGACGGCCUUCGGUUGG
This 393-nucleotide ribosomal RNA is filed under the name uncultured bacterium. Its description in RNAcentral is "bacterial SSU rRNA". It matches the Rfam family "Bacterial small subunit ribosomal RNA", at positions 28 to 426 of the family's 1533-position model. The record is from RNAcentral.